Molecule: non-coding RNA, 72 nt
Organism: Phrynosoma platyrhinos (Desert horned lizard)
Lineage: Eukaryota; Metazoa; Chordata; Lepidosauria; Squamata; Phrynosomatidae
Source: the annotation of a GenBank genome assembly
ACCAGAGUGGUAUAGUGGUUUGAGCAUUUGACUACAACUCUGGAGACCAGGGUUCGAUUCCCUGCUCAGCCA